UGUAAGCGUAUACCAAAGUUGUUGCAGUUAAAACGCUCGUAGUCGGAAUUUGGCAGUUCCGGAUGUGUGCACGUCGUGUGCGCACUUCGCGGGGAUUGCUUUUGUGGUCUUGCGUAGGAUGAGGCACUUUUAUUAGUGAACGUCCUCACGCAACCACUUUUUACUGUGAGAAAAUCAGAGUGCUCAAAGCAGGCAUUUGCCGUGAAUGUAUUAGCAUGGAAUAAUAGAAUAGGACUUGGUUCUAUUUUGUUGGUUUGUUGGGGCUGAGUAAUGAUUAAGAGGGACAGUUGGGGGCAUUUGUAUUUCGGCGCUAGAGGUGAAAUUCUUAGAUUGCCGAAAGACAAACUGCUGCGAAAGCGUCUGCCAAGGAUGUUUUCAUUGA
RNAcentral lists this ribosomal RNA (382 nucleotides) under uncultured eukaryote. RNAcentral describes it as "partial 18S ribosomal RNA". It matches the Rfam family "Eukaryotic small subunit ribosomal RNA", at positions 592 to 976 of the family's 1831-position model. The record is from RNAcentral.